CAACAUUUGUCUUUGUUCUGUAAUACUUUGUUCCAUCUACACUCGCAAGUUAUGAAACUGUUUUUUUUACUAUAGUCAACAUCCACAUGUGUGUGCUUAUGUUAUCUCUUAACAGAUCGAUCUACAACACAUACGCAUUGCAAUUAUGAGAAAUCCAUCAAUAUGCAGAUGAAGCCUUAAGAAUUAUUUAAGUCAUUGUAAUUAUAUAUAUCAUGGUGAGGGCCCUUCCGCUGGUAAGGAAAACUUAGAUAUUUUGCGUAUUAUAUAUUUUUGAUUGAUGUAACAUUUGUUUUCCCCUGACAAAAAGUAAUGUUUGUUUCAUGUUCUUAUUCAGUAAAAAUGUGCACAGCACAAUCUCAAAUUUUAUGCAAAAGCUCAGAUGGCAAUAGUUCCUACACUCAUGUUAUCCAAUAUAAACUGUUGAAUGAUUGAUACAAUUUGAAGGUGAGAUACAAGAACAUCAUAACAUUGAUAUUCUCGUCGUAUGUAUAUGACUACUAUAUAUUCCCGAAACCUCACCUCUAAACUGAGUUUAGUGCAGUUUUUUUAUUUUUUGAAAUACAGGUACUUCUCAAUUUUUGUACUAAUUUUCUAUUUUGGGGAAAGCCACAUAUGUUUCCAACAAUAGAAUGAUGUGUGAUGGUCAUCACACAAACUCCUGGCCAGGUGCCUUUCACAUCUUAUCUUGUUUGUAAUAUAUAUAUUCUCCUUAAAUUGUUAACACAAUGAGCAUAUAGAUGUAGCUGGUUCAUCAACGUAAACAUCAAAAGUAUUCCUCUUAUGCAGUCUGCUUCCCUGACAUGCAGGGCACACUAAGGUGGUGGGAAGAUACAUACAACCGUUAACUUGACGGCUAAGCGAUCAGAUGCGGCGAUUGUGUGAGUGUGUCAGGUACGUCGAAUUCACUUAUCCCAAACUAUUGGAAGUUACUAGGAUCUCCUCUUCUCUGUAAUACUUAUGGCCUUCUCCUCUACCUAUUGGGGCAACAGUUUGGAUAUCCAGCAACCAUGGUGACAAAUACGUGCAUACUGGAACUGUUCCAAGUUUCCAUUUUCUCAGUAAACAAGUGAACUAAGAAAGUGAAUCCUAUUUAAUAAAUGUAGGCAUAUACUAAUACGGUGGCACAACUUAGUCUGCAUGAAUGUUCUGGUCUUCUAAAUUUUUAGUAUAAUGUUGAGUACUUUAGUUGGAGUCCAUGCUAGUUUAGCUAGCCAAGUUGAGUCUAAUAAGGCUAGGUCGAUUAGUUAGUUUUCCACCAUUGCAAGUCGUAAGCAUGUGUGCUCAUGGAUGGGUCGUAGUCUGUAGAUGAUUCAAUGAUUUUGCAUAGGUAGCAGCGUACGUGAUGUACUAGUAUGCCUUGGAGUUGGUGUGCCUUACUAGUCUAGGAAAAGGGCGCUCGAGUCCAAGUCGUUUUAGAUGCAAAGUCAGAGUAGGUUUAGGUUGUUCCGGCCAUGUAGCAGGUCAUAGUUGUGGAAGCAGGUCGUAUAAGAGUUUUUCCAUAGAAAACAAGGUCAUGUAAGAGCUUUCAGACAAGAAUAAAGAGUACGCUAAAGUUUCUUUCAUGCGCAUGUGUUUGGCUAUUUUGAUGUGAUAGAUUCUGUGGACAAAACAGAACAUAGAUUACUAAUCCAUAUGCCAAAUCAGCAGGUUACAGAAACUUGAUUGUUCCAAGUCAAUGUUGUUGGCACUAAAACCUAAAAGACUACUGGUGCCAAGCUGGAUUUGCUAGGAGGUAUUUUCUGAUAUUACUUCUAUAUUGCCUGAAUGAUUCUUCACCAAUUCGAAUGGAAAUUUUGGAUUAUUAAUAGCAUUACUUGAAUAUAUUUUUAUUAUCACACAUGCUUCUGUUCUUUUACCUAAUUCGUACAAGAGAACACUUUUCUUCCAUGUUACAAUGGUCAUACACUCAUACUGCGUCUCUAAGAUAAGACUCUUUGCCGCUAGAUUAGGUAAAAUAAUUCAUCAACUCCUGUAUGCCUUCCUUACAUUCCCUCACUUCCUAUAUAACACUCUGUUUCUAUAAACAUGGUGAAACUUGAUAAUGGAAUGAGCUGAGUUACUUUACUGUAAACUAAAAUGACUACGUUCGGCUACAAAAGUGAUACUUGACAAGUUCAAACAAGAGCGCUGCUCUUACUACAACCCAACGUAUCAACCAAGAAUAUAAAGGUAAAAUUGACGGUGUUAAACUUGGUAAUGAAUUCCUUAUAUUCCGAAUUGAUCUUACAUUAGCAAAAUCUGGUAAGUUUAUACAACUAAUAAAAAGUCAAAAUUACUGGCGAUAUAGCUAGAUUAAUUAUCACAUGGCCUUCAACCUUUCUAUGUUGCUCCUCUUUUUCAAUUUUACUGCCCUAUUAACCUAUCUCAUUUCUUUGUGUAGAUUGCAAGAUAAAUCGGUGAUGCAUCGUCAGAUGUUGAUUGCAAGGUCAAGAACAUGGGUGCAACUAGAUAGUUUCACAUUGUGUUUCAGAAUGUCAUUUUCAUUGUCGAUGUGUCAAUCAUUAUGAUUCAGGCAUUUUCGGUGUCAAUGUUUAGAUCAUUAUGUUUCAAAAUGGCUGAGACGUUGGUUGCAAGAUCAAGAAUAGGACCAGUACUAGUUUCACAUCUUGUAAUCUUUGUAUCCAGAUCCUUGUAAUGCAACCAAGUUGACUUAAUAUAUGAGACAGUUCUGUUUGUUAUACUGCGUGCCCUAUGCAUUAUUGGCAUU
This 2707-nucleotide long non-coding RNA is filed under the name Triticum aestivum (bread wheat). Its description in RNAcentral is "long non-coding RNA (TAES_LNC022505)". Lineage: Eukaryota; Viridiplantae; Streptophyta; Magnoliopsida; Poales; Poaceae. The record is from RNAcentral.